AGAGUUUGAUCUUGGCUCAGAGUGAACGCUAGCGGCGUGGUUCAGACAUGCAAGUCGAGCGAGAAGCCCCUUUCGGGGGGUGGAUAGUGGCGAACGGGUGCGUAACACGUGAGCAACCUACCCUCAAGAGGGGGAUAGCCCAUCGAAAGAUGGAUUAAUACCGCAUAUGGCGGUCCCGGGCAUCCGGGACUUGCCAAAGCUUGACCUGGCACUUGAGGAGGGGCUCGCGGCCUAUCAGCUUGUUGGUGAGGUAACGGCUCACCAAGGCUAAGACGGGUAGCUGGUCUGAGAGGAUGAUCAGCCACACUGGAACUGAGAUACGGUCCAGACACCUACGGGUGGCAGCAGUUUCGAAUCAUUCACAAUGGGCGCAAGCCUGAUGGUGCGACGCCGCGUGGGGGAUGACGGCCUUCGGAUUGUAAACCCCUGUCACCAGGGAAUAAUGAGCGGGUUCAUAGCCCGCCUUGAACUAACCUGGAGAGGAAGCAGUGGCUAACUCCGUGCCAGCAGCCGCGGUAAUACGGAGACUGCGAGCGUUACUCGGAUUUACUGGGCGUAAAGGGUGCGCAGGCGGCUAGGUAUGUCAGGUGUGAAAUCCCGGGGCUCAACUCCGGAACUGCGCCUGAAACUACAUAGCUAGAGACUCGGAGGGGUAAGCGGAAUUCCCAGUGUAGCGGUGAAAUGCGUAGAGAUUGGAAGGAACACCAAAGGCGAAGGCAGCUUACUGGACGAGAUCUGACGCUCAUGCACGAAAGCGUGGGGAGCGAAAGGGAUUAGAUACCCCUGUAGUCCACGCCGUAAACUUUGUACACUAGGUAUUGGCAGAUUCGACCCUGUCAGUGCUCAAGCAAACGUGAUAAGUGUACCGCCUGAGGACUACGGCCGCAAGGCUAAAACUCAAAGGAAUUGACGGGGCCCCGCACAAGCGGUGGAGCAUGUGGCUUAAUUCGAUGCAACGCGAAGAACCUUACCUAGGCUUGACAUGGAUUGGACCGGCUGUGAAAGCAGCCUUCUCUUCGGAGCCGAUUCACAGGUGCUGCAUGGCUGUCGUCAGCUCGUGUCGUGAGAUGUUUGGUUAAGUCCGGCAACGAGCGCAACCCUUGUCCUUAGUUGCCAGCAAGUAAUGUUGGGGACUCUAAGGAGACAAGCUCCCAUAUGAGUGGGAAGGUGGGGACGAUGUCAAGUCAGUAUGGCCCUUACACCUAGGGCUGCACACGUGCUACAAUGCCUGGUUCAGUGGGAAGCAAUACCGCGAGGUGGAGCAAAUCACGAAAACCGGGCUCAGUUCGGAUUGGAGUCUGCAACUCGACUCCAUGAAGUCGGAAUCGCUAGUAAUGGCGUAUCAGCAAUGACGCCGUGAAUACGUUCCCGGGCCUUGUACACACCGCCCGUCAAGUCAUGAAAGCCGGUUUUGCCCAAAGUGCGUGAGCUAACCUUCGGGAGGCAGCGCCCUAAGGUGAGGCUGGUAAUUGGGACUAAGUCGU
Molecule: ribosomal RNA, 1484 nt
Filed under: uncultured prokaryote
Description: partial 16S ribosomal RNA
Rfam family: Bacterial small subunit ribosomal RNA
Source: RNAcentral